This 408-nucleotide ribosomal RNA is filed under the name uncultured Sphingobacteriales bacterium. RNAcentral describes it as "bacterial SSU rRNA". It matches the Rfam family "Bacterial small subunit ribosomal RNA", at positions 973 to 1382 of the family's 1533-position model. Lineage: Bacteria; Pseudomonadati; Bacteroidota; Sphingobacteriia; Sphingobacteriales. The record is from RNAcentral.
ACCUGGGCUCGAACGUAAGAUGACUGUAGGUGAAAGCUUACAUCUCUUCGGAGCAUUUUACGAGGUGCUGCAUGGUUGUCGUCAGCUCGUGCCGUGGGGUGUCGGGUUAAGUCCCAUAACGAGCGCAACCCUACCUUUAGUUGCCAUCAGGUAAUGCUGGGGACUCUAAAGGAACUGCCUACGCAAGUAGUGAGGAAGGCGGGGAUGACGUCAAAUCAGCACGGCCCUUACGUCCAGGGCUACACACGUGCUACAAUGGCCGAUACAGAGGGCAGCUACCUGGUGACAGGAUGCAAAUCUCCAAAGUCGGUCUCAGUUCGGAUCGGAGUCUGCAACCCGACUCCGUGAAGUUGGAUUCGCUAGUAAUCGCGCAUCAGCCAUGGCGCGGUGAAUACGUUCCCGGGCCUU